Molecule: long non-coding RNA, 1053 nt
Organism: Cydia strobilella
Lineage: Eukaryota; Metazoa; Arthropoda; Insecta; Lepidoptera; Tortricidae
Exons: 2
Source: RefSeq, a predicted model, not a curated record
AUCCUUGAGAUUAUGAAUCCUUUAUAAAGAACGUAUUUUCAUUACAUCGGAACAGUUUCAAGACAAGACUAGUGUCAAUCAUUUUCUUAGCGUCUUUGUUGAUCGUAUCAAAGAGAAGAUGCAGGGUAUCAACGUUUUUGUUGUUUUGAUGAUCGUAGCUCUUUGGGCUAAUCUUUGCGGCACCUGCUGAAGAGCUAUCCGGUGUCGAGCAGCUCCCAGCUAUGCUGGUGCGGUCGGGGCCGGCGCAGCUGGCGCUGGGCUCGCCGCAGCCGCGCCAGUGCACGAACAACGCCUGCGCCAACCUGUGCCGCGCGCUAGGCUGGACCAACGGUUUCUGUCUCGAUGCCGAGUGGUGCCUCUGCUACAACUAAACUAAAACCCUGUCGCACGAGCGCUCAUUCAUAUUAACUAACACCAUAAGCCAUGUCAACCGUACAAGUGCGUCAAAUCGCGGAAGCAGUAAAAUCGAAUAAACGUUCUAAUAUAUCUAACUAUGCAAAGGAAUUGUAAUGGAAAAAUGCAUUAAGAUAUUUAUAAAUUGUGAGUCUAAAAUUAUAACGUUUGGUAAGCGGAAUGUUUUUUACUAUUUUUACUAACGAUACAUAUAGCUGCGAAUAUAAUACAUAUAUAUAAUAAGUAGGUACCUAUAACUCGAUCACGUAUGCUUUAACUGGGAUUUUAAUUUCAAGUUUAUUUUGUCAAAUCAAUAAUCCAUUCGCACAAUACGAUCCGAAAUUACGCCUGCCAUUUUAAGUAAUCCUCUACAUGCACAAAAGCAGGCACAAAACUAAAUUUCAAGUCGAUUUUCUGUAUCAGUUACAACGUCAAAAGAAAUUAAUCCAAUAACUUUGUACACCUCGGGACAAUCAAACUUGCAAACAUAAGGAACUUGACAAAAUAGCUUAUUAUACCUUAAAGCAACCAUACCAAAUUGGACUUUAUCACAAAACUCUGUUGGAUUAAUAUUGCGAAAUAUACGUUGGCAAAUCUAACAUACUAUUUGAAGGUACACGGCAAUAAAAACCAAUAGAAAUAAAGUCAAUUGCAAUGCUC